Molecule: ribosomal RNA, 457 nt
Filed under: Macrococcoides goetzii
Lineage: Bacteria; Bacillati; Bacillota; Bacilli; Caryophanales; Staphylococcaceae
Description: bacterial SSU rRNA
Rfam family: Bacterial small subunit ribosomal RNA
Source: RNAcentral
GGCUCAGGAUGAACGCUGGCGGCGUGCCUAAUACAUGCAAGUCGAGCGAAUUGACAGAGAUGCUUGCAUCUCUCGAUUUUAGCGGCGGACGGGUGAGUAACACGUGGGUAACCUACCUAUAAGACUGGGAUAACUUCGGGAAACCGGAGCUAAUACCGGAUAAUAUUUAGCUUCGCAUGAAGCAAUAGUGAAAGACGGUUUUGCUGUCACUUAUAGAUGGACCUGCGGUGUAUUAGCUAGUUGGUGAGGUAAUGGCUCACCAAGGCAACGAUACAUAGCCGACCUGAGAGGGUGAUCGGCCACACUGGGACUGAGACACGGCCCAGACUCCUACGGGAGGCAGCAGUAGGGAAUCUUCCGCAAUGGACGAAAGUCUGACGGAGCAACGCCGCGUGAGUGAAGAAGGUUUUCGGAUCGUAAAACUCUGUUGUAAGGGAAGAACAAGUACGUUAGUAAC